RNAcentral lists this small RNA (131 nucleotides) under Intestinirhabdus alba. RNAcentral's name for it is "RtT sRNA". It matches the Rfam family "RtT RNA". Rfam says of the family: This family represents a bacterial cis-regulatory element known as RtT RNA. The exact function of RtT is unknown although it is thought that it may be involved in changing the cellular response in relation to amino acid starvation. The record is from RNAcentral. Lineage: Bacteria; Pseudomonadati; Pseudomonadota; Gammaproteobacteria; Enterobacterales; Enterobacteriaceae.
UUUUUCUCCUGAGGGGGAAGGACGAGAACCUUCGAUUAAGGUUCGAUUCGAGCGUAGCGAGAAAGCGUUGCCGCAGGCAACGACCCGAAGGGCGAAGGCGCUUGCGCCGAGUAAUCCUUCCCCCACCCUUC